GUGCGAGACCGAUAGCGAACAAGUACCGUGAGGAAAAGAUGAAAAGAACUUUGAAAAGAGAGUUAAAGAGUACCUGAAACUGCUGAAAGGGAAGCGAAUCGUAUCCAGUGUCUAUAAUCUGCGGCAUAUUUCAUUGGCGGCAGUGUGCGUGCUUUUGCGUCGGAAGCGGCUUUUGUUGCUCUGUGCUUUUGCUGUGCGUGCUGUUGCUGGUGCCCUGUGUUGCGGUGGGACGUCAGAGUCAGUUCGUAUGCUGCGGGAAAUGGCCGCCGAGGAGGUAGGUCAGGACUUCGGUCUUGGCUGUUAUAUCUUGGUGGUUUGUUGUCGUGGUUGGGACUGAGGUGCCUACAAUGUGCUUUUGAGUGUGCCGGGUUCUCAUUUGGUGGACUGUUUGGAUAGCUUGCUAUGCUUGUGGUUUUUUCAUCGAGUGAUUGAGUCUGGUGGUAACUUGUUGCUGUUCGGGACUUUG
Molecule: ribosomal RNA, 466 nt
Filed under: uncultured Oomycota
Lineage: Eukaryota; Oomycota
Description: LSU rRNA
Rfam family: Eukaryotic large subunit ribosomal RNA
Source: RNAcentral